UGGGGGAAGAUGAUGACGGUACCCCAUGAAUAAGCACCGGCUAACUACGUGCCAGCAGCCGCGGUAAUACGUAGGGUGCGAGCGUUGUUCGGAAUUACUGGGCGUAAAGGGCGUGCAGGCGGAUUGGCAAGCCGGAGGUGAAAGCCCGGGGCUCAACCCCGGAGGGUCUUUCGGAACUGCCAGUCUUGAGAGGGUCAGGGGCCAGCGGAAUUCCUGGUGUAGAGGUGAAAUUCGUAGAGAUCAGGAGGAACACCGGCGGCGAAAGCGGCUGGCUGGGGCCACUCUGACGCUGAGGCGCGAAAGCGUGGGGAGCAAACAGGAUUAGAUACCCUGGUAGUCCACGCCGUAAACGAUGGGCACUAAGCGUCCGACGGGUUCGACCCUGUUGGGUGCUGCAGUUAACGCGUUAAGUGCCCCGCCUGGGGAGUACGGUCGCAAGACUA
RNAcentral lists this ribosomal RNA (443 nucleotides) under uncultured delta proteobacterium. RNAcentral describes it as "bacterial SSU rRNA". It matches the Rfam family "Bacterial small subunit ribosomal RNA", at positions 439 to 896 of the family's 1533-position model. The record is from RNAcentral. Lineage: Bacteria; Deltaproteobacteria.